UGGGGAAUAUUGCACAAUGGGCGCAAGCCUGAUGCAGCCAUGCCGCGUGUGUGAAGAAGGCCUUCGGGUUGUAAAGCACUUUCAGCGAGGAGGAAGGUGGUGAGCUUAAUACGCUCAUCAAUUGACGUUACUCGCAGAAGAAGCACCGGCUAACUCCGUGCCAGCAGCCGCGGUAAUACGGAGGGUGCAAGCGUUAAUCGGAAUUACUGGGCGUAAAGCGCACGCAGGCGGUUUGUUAAGUCAGAUGUGAAAUCCCCGGGCUCAACCUGGGAACUGCAUUUGAAACUGGCAAGCUAGAGUCUCGUAGAGGGGGGUAGAAUUCCAGGUGUAGCGGUGAAAUGCGUAGAGAUCUGGAGGAAUACCGGUGGCGAAGGCGGCCCCCUGGACGAAGACUGACGCUCAGGUGCGAAAGCGUGGGGCAGCAAACAGGAUUAGAUACCCUGGUAGUCCAGCGCUGUAAAACGAUGUCGAUUUGGAGGUUGUGCCCUUGAGGCGUGGCUUCCGGAGCUAACGCGUUAAAUCGACCGCCUGGGGAGUACGGCCGCAAGGUU
RNAcentral lists this ribosomal RNA (551 nucleotides) under uncultured bacterium. Its description in RNAcentral is "partial 16S ribosomal RNA". It matches the Rfam family "Bacterial small subunit ribosomal RNA", at positions 355 to 895 of the family's 1533-position model. The record is from RNAcentral.